RNAcentral lists this long non-coding RNA (658 nucleotides) under Oncorhynchus kisutch (coho salmon). Its description in RNAcentral is "lncRNA (ENSOKIG00005013400.1)". Lineage: Eukaryota; Metazoa; Chordata; Actinopteri; Salmoniformes; Salmonidae. The record is from RNAcentral.
AUGUGCAAAUUUCCCCUUUGGUGUUCUAUAGUAUUGCUGUUAUUCCCAGUCCCUGCAAAUGCCAGGGUGUGGAUGAACCAGUGGUCCUCAAAGAAUGCUUACAUAGUAGGGGAAACAGCUGCUCUUAAUUGCAACAUAACCUCAGAUCAUGAGGAAAUAAGAAAUUGCAAAAUGAGAUGGAUCAUUGAAGAUCAAGGUGAUGUCACAAGUUUGGAGUUGUAUACGCAUCGUGUAAACAUGAAUUGGAGCAAAACAGCUACUACUAUGACAUUGAGAAACCUGACCUUGAGUGACACCAUUAUGCCAAUUUGCAUCGCAAAGUGCAUCAUUGACAGUGUCAACAGCAAGGUUUAUGGGGAGGGUGGCACACACAUUUUUGAAGACAUCAACCAGAUGACCCUGGUCUCAAAGUUGACAACACUGGUCCCAGAGUUGACAACACUGGUCCCAAAGGAAAUCAAACAGGAACAUGCUCUCACUUGGCCGAACCAUGUUUUUCUCAGCAUAAACAUCCUGAUUUUCAUUGUGGCCACAAUUAUUUGUGUGUCAUACAUCAGAACCCAAAUGAAUAUGAAUUAAAAAGGGAUUGCAUUAGUUGUUAAAAUAUUGCCUGAAGCACCCUUCCAAGUUAUAGCCUAAAGCCUAUGCUCUAACACCU